CUCAGCCGCGUCUGCCCGCGGCCAGGAGCGGCCGGUCCGUGCGGCGAGGAAGGAUUCCUCCCGGCCGGCCCCGACGGGGCGCAGCACCGGCGCCGGGAGCUCGGCGCCCCCGAGCCGCCGGGUGGCCGGGAAGCCUCGCGGGGGAGGCGCUCGGAGGCGCGUGCCGCCCGCCCCCGCGUGGGUGAGGGUCGGGCAGCCGGCGCUGCGGAGGUGGGAAGGGGCGGAGGCGGAGAGACGAGCCCCGGGGCUGCGAAAGCCUCGGGCCGGGGCCGGUACCGGGAGCUGCGGCGGGUCGCGCGUCCCCCCGGGCCGGUCCCGGCCGCGCUUCUCCAGCUGCCCGCCUGCUCCCGCCUCCGGCUGCCUUUCGGGCUGGCCGGGUCCCCGCAGCUUUUUGCUGUUCUGCCGACACCGCCCCGUCCCCCGUCGCCUUCUCCACGUCCUUUCCACGCCUCUCCCUUGCUGGCUCCCCAGCCGCCUGAAGCAUUUCAUUCUUUCCACGCUGCCGCCUUCCCUGUCGCUUGUGAAAAUCGCAUCGGAAGGUCUCCCUCUACCCGGCGACUCGUAUCUGUUCUCAUCAUCUCCCUGUCUCUCUCCCUCCCUCACUGAAAUCGGGUUUAGCGUUAACGAGCGGGCAUUGCUUUAUUUGGCCGGGGACGCAAGGGAAUCGUUCUGCCUAACAUGCUUGCUAGGGCCUUAAUCUUCAAGGACAAUGGCUCGCGAUUAGGAGUCUCCCGAUUUCCUCAUGGGGCCUCUCCACAUCUGCAUUUCCCGGGAGGCGUUUAUCACGCUCGCCUAGCUCAGGGACCUCUGUGUGACGGACAACGCGUUGCAGGUGUUUGACCAAUUGCUUAAGUUUUUACACUACCCU
Molecule: long non-coding RNA, 868 nt
Organism: Tyto alba (common barn owl)
Lineage: Eukaryota; Metazoa; Chordata; Aves; Strigiformes; Tytonidae
Exons: 2
Source: RefSeq, a predicted model, not a curated record